AACCUUAUUUUUUAUAUUUUUCUGACACAAAGGAAAUCACUGCUGCUCCUAAGUGAUCUUUCAAUGCAGAGAAACACCCUCAUUAGUUUUUUUUCCCACCUUCUCACCUUCUUUCAUUAAACCGUACUCUUUGCAGUCCCAGCUGAACAGCAGGGAACAUUAUGAGCUGACUGAAAAGCAUUUUCCUUUGUUAACAUGUUUUUUCUUCAUCGAGCAAUAGAACAGUAAUGAGGACACAGAUCAUCUUUUCAUUAUAAGCGCGCAUAGAGAAGUACAAAAGGAAAAAAAAGAGUGGGUCCCCAAAAUAAAUAAAUAAACAACGUAACUGAGUGGCCAAGGGAAGAAAUGGAGAGACCCAAGAUGACAAAGCUUUCCCUCGCGCUCUACCUUUGCUAGUAUACAGAGGCAUCAAAGUCAAGUCUCCAAGAGAUGUUGGGUGCUCUGAAUGUUGCAUUUAAUGGAAAUAGGCAUAGAUUGUAUCUGCAACUUCUAUGCAAUGCAAAUCGAUAUCAUCCAUCAGUAUGGCAAAAGGAGCCAACAAAUAAACAAACAAAACCCAACUGAAAACACCGCCUAAGAUGACUCUGAAAUAGAUUGGCUCUUUCAUGGAAAUAUACAGAUUUGUUUUCCCUCUUAACUUUUGUUCGCGUUUUCCUUGUUCCUGCUAGAUACAAAAACAAGCCUUCCUGUCAGGUUUUAAAUAGGGACGGUAUAUACCAGCAUACACGUUCAGUUCCAGAAAACAGAAACGAUUACGAAUCUGCAUGAGGGCUGCACAUUUCCUACAUCAGGUUCCUUACACGAUGGAAGUGUGUGGAGGAGGCACUGCUUCUGUGUGUGUGCUUGUACGGUGCUUAAUAAGGAGAGACCGCUGCUGGAGAGCGGGGAGGGAGCUCAACUGCCCCCUAACCAUGAAACCCAGCUGGGGUAAGGAUCCAUAGCACGCUCUGUUGGAGCCAUGUUCCUGGGAACCCUGCGGUGUGUGUGCUUAAGGAUUUCUGCAGCCUCCCCCUCUAAGGCUGGGUGUCUCAGCAGUGUGGUGGCAGAGGGAAACGCAGUGAGCCUGGGUGAGCUGCUCCCCUGCACUUCAGCAGAAACGUGCAGAGAUUCUGAAGGAGUAAGAAACACAAACUUCCACCUCUUCUUUUGUGCCAAGCUGCACCACAGUCUGCUCUUCAGCAGACAGCCUGGCUAUUCCUUUCACCUCUGCCAGCUUCUCAAUGCCUUUUUUUUGCCAUUAUUAUGACAAUUGUGGCUACAUUUGCUCAUAUGGUCGAAGCUUGCUAAUGCUAUCCAUCCCUUCCCCCCUGCAAAUUAUUCAGUAUAGUGUCACUAGCCUCAGCAUAAAAUGUACAUUUGCGUGCUUGUUUUCAUUUAAUAAAACCCUUUGGUCAC
Molecule: long non-coding RNA, 1395 nt
Filed under: Gallus gallus (chicken)
Lineage: Eukaryota; Metazoa; Chordata; Aves; Galliformes; Phasianidae
Description: lncRNA (ENSGALG00010004466.1)
Source: RNAcentral